UAGUUUAAUAAACCAUUAGAGUUGGUUAGGAGUGAAUUAGCUAUAACUUGCAUGUAUAAAUAACACUUCGAUGUAAACCAUUAUCAUCAUCUCAGAUUCAAUUGAAUGAGUUUUGUUCUCACCCACGAAUCAAUGGAAUUUGUAUACAAUAUCCAGGUUUUUAUGGCAUCCUCAAUCUUCACCAUUCUUUUGGAUCUAAUCGGAUCGAUCCGAUUAGAUGAUGCUGAUAAGAUGGUGAAUCUACAAACAGUGAUUUAUAAUUACUCCAUGAGUAAUUU
This 278-nucleotide long non-coding RNA is filed under the name Zostera marina. RNAcentral describes it as "long non-coding RNA (ZMAR_LNC000869)". Lineage: Eukaryota; Viridiplantae; Streptophyta; Magnoliopsida; Alismatales; Zosteraceae. The record is from RNAcentral.